Molecule: long non-coding RNA, 895 nt
Organism: Wyeomyia smithii (pitcher-plant mosquito)
Lineage: Eukaryota; Metazoa; Arthropoda; Insecta; Diptera; Culicidae
Exons: 3
Source: RefSeq, a predicted model, not a curated record
GAUAGAAAGUUUAAAAUCACGUUUUGCUCAGAAAAAUACACUCUUUCAGAUGAUAUAUAAAAAUCGGAAAUCCGUGAAUAGCUAAACAACCCAAUUGCAUAGCAUAAAUUCUAUGACUCUAUAUGUGGUACCGGGUUGUCGAAACGUUCGGUCAUCGAAAUCCAAGCUCGAAUCUCUCUUGAAUUCAUUAAACCUAUCCCACAAAUUAUCUUUCCACCGAUUCCCGAGAGAUGCGACCAUUCGGAAGAAAUGGCUACGAUUUUUUGGACAGGUCCUAAGCACCAACACGAACAAUAUGUACAUUUGCUUGCUUCAUUUUAGUCCGGAUUAUUUCAUGUAUAUCGAUGGCUUGGAAGUACAAUAUCGUCGAAAAUUGAUUCCCACAGCUGUUCCUUCUAUCAGGAAGGCCGAAAAUAAGAAGCCCUCGAGACAGCAUAACCGAAAAGCCAUGAUUGACAUCAAACAACAACAUCAAACAAAAGAGGCAUCGGAGCACCAAAGAGAGCUUCAAAAAGCUAAAAAACGAAUGACUGAACUCGAAAAAGCCAACAAAGAUUUACAGCUAGUCAAUAAACAGCAAACAUUGCUUGAAUCAAAGGUCAUUCUAUCAAAACGAUACACAAAAAAUUAAAUCGACAUCAUGCUUGAUCAAAAAAAGAAAGUCAAGCAAUGGUCUGCCGAGGAAUUAGCGAUGGGAUUUACUCUCAACUAUUUGAGUAAGCCUGCACUCAAGUUUAUUAGCCAGACACGCCAUUUUCCCUUACCAUCAGCAAAAUGUCUACACGAUUAUGCCGCUAAAAUCAAUAUGCGGAGAGGCUUCUUCGAGGAAAUUAUCCAGAUUCUCAAAGCAUAUGCAGAUACGCUGUCAGAAAGGGAGCGGAUAUGUGCAAUAAUU